Molecule: long non-coding RNA, 1652 nt
Filed under: Helianthus annuus (common sunflower)
Lineage: Eukaryota; Viridiplantae; Streptophyta; Magnoliopsida; Asterales; Asteraceae
Description: hypothetical non coding rna
Source: RNAcentral
UGAACCAACAAAUUCUAGAAUAAUGAUUUUCGGUGGAUCUAAUGCUCACAUAUAUGAACUCGUAAUGGGCUGAUGUGUGAUGAAUUUCAUGGUUAGUUGUUGAGUUGUGUGGUAAGGUGUAUUACUUACUGUUGAUAAAUACGAUAUGCAUGAAAGAAGAAGUAUGAUGAAUAUAUAUAAUAAUCGAUUAGCAUGCUGAUGACUAAUAGGGUUACAUGUGUUGUGAUUAUAAUUGGUAUGAUAUAAAUCAUUGGACUAGGAUUAAAUAACCUGUUAAUGAGGGGUAUUAUUUAUAUAAAUGAUGAUGAUAAAGAUGAGAUGUCAUAAUGAAUUGAUGUAAUGUAUGCAAGAAAGAAACAACUUGUUAAUGAGUGAGAAUAGCCGAUCAAGAUGCACAUGAUGUUAUGUGGACCACAUCCUAAACACUUGCACAAUAAAAAGGAUUCAGGCUGUGCACUUAAACAGGUAAAUUACACUUGGGCUGCUGCUGGAUCAGCGUGCUAAAUGCGGUGGGCCGCACACACCCUGCACUAGGCUGGGCCGAGCUGUGGAAAACAUUACCGAACGGACUUGAAAUCUUUUGGGCCACGGGUUGUGUUGAUUAGGGAAUUAGAAGUUUGGGUUAUACAAUGUUGGGUGGGACUUAAACUUGUCAAAUUGUAUGUUCUGUGAAUGACGAGUGAAAUGCUAUUGGUUGCGUGUCAUGUGAAAUGCGAACUUGUAAUAUGAACAUGCAAAUAAACUAACUACCCACGAGGUGAAUACAUGAUAAUGAACUGGCAUGCUACGUGAAACACUAUAAUGACUUGUAUAAUGUUAUGUGAAACCUGUGUACCCUAUAAGUGUAGAAUGUGUAAAGAAUACGUGAUAUGUGUGCAUACGAAACUGAUUGAUAUUGAUAAUCACACUAGGGUUUGGUUGAUCCAUUUUGAAUGAAUAGUGAAACGUGACAUACCGAGCAAACCGAGGUGAGUUCACACUCUUACCAAGGCAUGGGAUUCCCAAUGGGUUGGGAAUGGGAUUGAAUGAUUACUUGUACUUUCAUCGCUACUGGAAUACGUACCACUGGCCUCGUUAGGGGAAGGACACCUAUAGAUACAACUAGACUAGUAACACAUGGGAAGCCCCCACUAAUCUUCGCACACAUGUCUGUGAGACCGUGAUACGAUUACUAAUCUUUGCAAACAUGUCUGGGAGGCCGCGAUACCAAUCUAAUCUUCGCAAACAUGUCUGGGAGACGGCGAUACAAAUACAAAUACAAAUACAAGUAGUCUAGGACACAUGGGAAACCCCCACUAAUCUUCGCAAACAUGUCUGGGAGACCGCGAUACGAACUAAUACGAUACAUGGUUUACUAAACGAACAUAUGGCUUACGAAACGAAUACUAUAACUAAACAACCAACUGUGAACUCGCUCAACUUUGUUGUUGACUUGUUGUUACAUGCCUUGCAGCCCUUUAGGUGCAUAUCAAUGGAACUUGCUGUCUGAGAAGCUGGAGUGGUCGUGGGUCGAGUUACAUGGAAACGCAACACAAGGCUAGGAGCUAUCACAUGUGGUUUAUAAAGACUUAAAGAACUAAAUAUGCUUCUGCUGUAAAAUGUGAUAUAUCGUAACAUUGUAACCCGUAUUGUUAAUAAAUGAAAGUUUUAUU